GGAGGGGUCGCAUAGUGGUUUAGUGCAGCGGUUUACUAAACCGCCGUAACGAAAGUUACCGAGGGUUCGAAUCCCUCCCCCUCCG
This 85-nucleotide transfer RNA is filed under the name Candidatus Woesebacteria bacterium. Its description in RNAcentral is "tRNA-Ser". It matches the Rfam family "tRNA". From Rfam's summary of the family: Transfer RNA (tRNA) molecules are approximately 80 nucleotides in length. Their secondary structure includes four short double-helical elements and three loops (D, anti-codon, and T loops). Lineage: Bacteria; Candidatus Woeseibacteriota. The record is from RNAcentral.